Molecule: long non-coding RNA, 523 nt
Organism: Fundulus heteroclitus (mummichog)
Lineage: Eukaryota; Metazoa; Chordata; Actinopteri; Cyprinodontiformes; Fundulidae
Exons: 3
Source: RefSeq, a predicted model, not a curated record
CCUCAGGCUGUAUUUUAUGAGUUCUCUUUGCUACAUAGAUUUUUCUGUCACGGAUCAUUUAAAUAUAAGCCAAACAAUAAAUAAUACAUCCACUUCUGUGCUCCUGCCCUGCCGACGUGUCACCUGAAGCUGAUGACGUCACAGAUACAAAAUCUCCCUGAAAGCAACUAAAGAAAACCUGUUGCUGCUUCUGCUGUGUGCCACAUUUCCAUCUCCUGAUCUCUCUUGCUGUGGGGCAAUUUGUGUUGGAGCCUGCGUACUUGGGAGGAAACAAGGACAUUUCUUUUUUUGUGGGGAAGGGAUUUAUGUUUAUUUUGGAAUGGACAUUUAAAAAAUACAAAAAACUGUGGAACAAACAUUUCUGUUGUUGGUGUUAUGUGUAAAACAAUUGUUUGUCAUUCAUUGUAUUUAAGGUUCUACACCUUGAAGUGUAUGGUCCUUGUGUGACUGGUAAAAAACAAAACAAAAAAAACUUAAAAUCCUACUUGUCAGGAGGGAUACCUGACUGGCACCCCUAUAGGUA